This 554-nucleotide ribosomal RNA is filed under the name Guavina guavina (Atlantic guavina). RNAcentral describes it as "partial 16S ribosomal RNA". It matches the Rfam family "Bacterial large subunit ribosomal RNA", at positions 1854 to 2607 of the family's 2925-position model. Lineage: Eukaryota; Metazoa; Chordata; Actinopteri; Gobiiformes; Eleotridae. The record is from RNAcentral.
CCCGCCUGCCCUGUGACCACGUGUUUAACGGCCGCGGUAUUUUGACCGUGCGAAGGUAGCGCAAUCACUUGUCUUUUAAAUGAAGACCUGUAUGAAUGGCAUAACGAGGGCUAAGCUGUCUCCUUUUUCCAGUCAAUGAAAUUGAUCUACCCGUGCAGAAGCGGGUAUAAAAACAUUAGACGAGAAGACCCUAUGGAGCUUUAGACACAAGGACAGCCUAUGUUAAAAAACCUUAAUUAAAAGACUAAACCAAACAGCCCCUGUCCCCCUGUCUUUGGUUGGGGCGACCGCGGGGAAACAAAUAACCCCCACGUGGAACAAGGAAACCUCCUUUAAAACCAGGGCCACAGCCCUAAUAUACAGAACAUCUGACCAACAAGAUCCGGCACCGCCGAUCAACGGACCGAGUUACCCUAGGGAUAACAGCGCAAUCCUCUUUUAGAGCCCAUAUCGACAAGAGGGUUUACGACCUCGAUGUUGGAUCAGGACAUCCUAAUGGUGCAGCCGCUAUUAAGGGUUCGUUUGUUCAACGAUUAAUAGUCCUACGUGAUCUG